This is a long non-coding RNA of Bombina bombina (fire-bellied toad), 442 nucleotides long. RefSeq lists it as uncharacterized. The record is from RefSeq and is a predicted model, not a curated record. NCBI's taxonomy places the organism in Eukaryota, Metazoa, Chordata, Amphibia, Anura, Bombinatoridae. The transcript is spliced from 3 exons.
UUUCAGUAUCCCCAGUGGAUGGAGCAUGCAUGGGAGGUAAUUGCACUGGAAUGCAGCCCAGGAGCCUAUGUGGAUAGGAUAACUGCUGAGAAUGCGAUGCUCACAGGAUGUGGCUCUGAAGAACAUGGCCGUAUGCGAAAAUAAAAAUGACGAAGAAAAAAACAAACAUGUUACCCAUGCAAAGCCAAAGUUACUAAAACCAGUCCAUAACCCUCUUCUCCCACCUGGUUUUGGCAACAACAUCAUUCCCAAAUGACUGCUAACCUCUAGCGCGAUGCUGGAUAAAUGUAAUCUGCAGAGCUGCUCAGAAAGGAAGCUUCAAGUCACAAGCGAGAAACAGAAAUGCACCCUGUUGUCUUAUACAGGCAAACCCUACUACAUAUCUUUCCCUACAUGGAUUAACUGACGACAACUGCAAAUCAAUUCACUUCAUAAUUAAAAG